CCUACGGGCGGCUGCAGUAGGGAAUAUUGGGCAAUGGACGAAAGUCUGACCCAGCCAUGCCGCGUGCAGGAUGACUGCCCUAUGGGUUGUAAACUGCUUUUCUCUGGGAAGAAACACUCAUACGUGUAUGAACUUGACGGUACCAUAGGAAUAAGGAUCGGCUAACUCCGUGCCAGCAGCCGCGGUAAUACGGAGGAUCCAAGCGUUGUCCGGUUUCAUGGGGUUUUAGGGGUGCGUAUACGGACUACGUGAAAUCUUUCGGCUCAACCGUAAAAUUGCCUUUGAAACUGGUAGUCUUGAGUUCGGUCGAGGUGGAUGGAAUGUGUCAUGUAGCGGUGAAAUGCUUAGAUAUGACCCAGAACACCAAUUGCGAAGGCAGUUCACUAGACCGAGACUGACGCUGAGGCACGAAAGCGUGGGGAGCGAACAGGAUUAGAUACCCCAGUAGUC
RNAcentral lists this ribosomal RNA (450 nucleotides) under uncultured bacterium. RNAcentral's name for it is "partial 16S ribosomal RNA". It matches the Rfam family "Bacterial small subunit ribosomal RNA", at positions 338 to 795 of the family's 1533-position model. The record is from RNAcentral.